Molecule: long non-coding RNA, 406 nt
Organism: Gambusia affinis (western mosquitofish)
Lineage: Eukaryota; Metazoa; Chordata; Actinopteri; Cyprinodontiformes; Poeciliidae
Exons: 3
Source: RefSeq, a predicted model, not a curated record
AAAACUUAAAACGGAACAGGAAGGUUUGAAAGGCCACAGAGCAGAUGGUUCCCAUGAGGAACUUCUCUCUUUAGUUUCAGGGUCUCCUCAGUCUUUGUUCAACAUGAAGACAGAAUCCAUGGAGCUCACUGGGACUCAUAAACCCAGAGUUCACCUGUCUACAGGUGUCAGGACUCCAUCCAGGAAAUGGUGUCUGUCCACAGUAGCAAUCUGCUGGGUGAUACUGGUAAUAAUCACUGGUCUGCGCAUCUAUUACACUUUUCUCCUUUCUGCUAAGUUGAAGGACUCUGAGGAUGUAAAUCAGCAUCUUAAUGAAAAACCCCAGAUACUACAAUCAGAUUUAUGGCAACUGCAAAAGAAAGAAGUUGCUACAAAGGACUGGAGAGAACCUCGCUUUGAGUGGACC